UACGGAGGGGGCUAGUGUUGUUCGGAAUUACUGGGCGUAAAGCGCACGUAGGCGGCUUUGUAAGUUAGAGGUGAAAGCCCGGGGCUCAACUCCGGAAUUGCCUUUAAGACUGCAUCGCUAGAAUUGUGGAGAGGUAAGUGGAAUUCCGAGUGUAGAGGUGAAAUUCGUAGAUAUUCGGAAGAACACCAGUGGCGAAGGCGACUUACUGGUCCAUGACUGACGCUGAGGCUCGAAAGCGUGGGGAGCAAACAGG
RNAcentral lists this ribosomal RNA (253 nucleotides) under uncultured prokaryote. RNAcentral's name for it is "partial 16S ribosomal RNA". It matches the Rfam family "Bacterial small subunit ribosomal RNA", at positions 524 to 776 of the family's 1533-position model. The record is from RNAcentral.